GGGACAACAGUUGGAAACGACUGCUAAUACCGCAUGACGCAUAGAGGUCGCAUGAUCUUUAUGCCAAAGAUUUAUCGCUUCAAGAUGGCCUCGCGUCUGAUUAGCUAGUUGGCGGGGUAACGGCCCACCAAGGCGACGAUCAGUAGCCGGACUGAGAGGUUGAACGGCCACAUUGGGACUGAGAUACGGCCCAGGCUCCUACGGGAGGCAGCAGUGGGGAAUAUUGGGCAAUGGGCGCAAGCCUGACCCAGCAACGCCGCGUGAAGGAAGAAGGCUUUCGGGUUGUAAACUUCUUUUAAGAGGGAAGAGCAGAAGACGGUACCUCUAGAAUAAGCCACGGCUAACUACGUGCCAGCAGCCGCGGUAAUACGUAGGUGGCAAGCGUUGUCCGGAUUUACUGGGUGUAAAGGGCGUGCAGCCGGGUCUGCAAGUCAGAUGUGAAAUCCAUGGGCUCAACCCAUGAACUGCAUUUGAAACUGUAGAUCUUGAGUGUCGGAGGGGCAAUCGGAAUUCCUAGUGUAGCGGUGAAAUGCGUAGAUAUUAGGAGGAACACCAGUGGCGAAGGCGGAUUGCUGGACGAUAACUGACGGUGAGGCGCGAAAGUGUGGGGAGCAAACAGGAUUAGAUACCCUGGUAGUCCACACUGUAA
Molecule: ribosomal RNA, 649 nt
Filed under: uncultured bacterium
Lineage: Bacteria
Description: bacterial SSU rRNA
Rfam family: Bacterial small subunit ribosomal RNA
Source: RNAcentral